CUCAGCAGCAGGAUGGUUACGGCUGCGAUCAGACACCGGUUCAGCGUCACGCCUUCCCACGGCGUCUCGAACUGCGUCAGGUUCUGGAUGGACAGCGUCCUGCGUAACGACGCUGCUGUACGGGCGACAAAACACAGAAGACAUACUGGCACCGGUGAGCGGAUGUUCCCGUGCGAUCAUCUUUGGGACCUGCUGGACGUUUGGAGAUUCCUGCGGGACACACGAGGGCUAUUAAUAGAACGGACAAGCUGAGCGCUCGAUAAACCAGUCCUCGUCCCAGGACACAAGACUGCGCAGAUGGGCCGCAAAAGCAGUGCUGUGAUCUUUGGCAAGGGCAAGGAGCCGGUUUGGAGCAGAGGGAGAGAGGAGCAGAAUACAUAAGUGCAAAACUAAAUAAGGAGGUGCAUCAAAGAGAGGCUGUUCUCCAGACGUCUGCGUGAAGAGGAAAUGAGUGUCAUCUCAACUCUGCUCUCAGGACUCUGUUCAGACGAUCUACUGCAGAAACACAACACGUGUGAUCUGGAACGAACACCUUCUCUACACGGUCUACUCAAUUAAAGCUGGUUUUAAACACAAGAACAGAUCCUGAGUCAACGGCCCCUAGGAAGCAUUAGACUGCGAGACACUCGCUGGAGUUUGGAACAGAUCCUGUGUGUGUGUGUGUGUGUGUGUGUGUGUGUGUGUGUGUGUGUGUGUGUGUGCGUGUGUGUGUGUGUGUGUGUUCGUGCACGUUGUGUUCCACAGA
Molecule: long non-coding RNA, 745 nt
Organism: Puntigrus tetrazona (Sumatra barb)
Lineage: Eukaryota; Metazoa; Chordata; Actinopteri; Cypriniformes; Cyprinidae
Exons: 5
Source: RefSeq, a predicted model, not a curated record